Molecule: long non-coding RNA, 1322 nt
Organism: Hippocampus comes (tiger tail seahorse)
Lineage: Eukaryota; Metazoa; Chordata; Actinopteri; Syngnathiformes; Syngnathidae
Exons: 3
Source: RefSeq, a predicted model, not a curated record
UUUCAGUCAUAAGGGCCCUCCAAGAGAAACAGUAACUCAAAUGUGGCCGACGACAAAAAUAAGAUUGACACCCCUGGUGUACGGCAAGGGAUGAGCUGUAGUUAACCAUGUCAUUUGUGGCCUCCGCACAUCUGACCCAAGCUACUGCGCAUGAUUUUGCAGCAAUCACAGGAGCUUCACAAUCAUAAAAUACCAGGAGCUGUCAGGCGGGCGUGAAAGGGGGGCAUGAUUAAAUGUGUCAGGUCUCGACAUAGAAACAAGAAGAAACAUGCUUGGCAGGUCUGCAACAGGGGAAAAAAAAAAAAAAAAAAAAAGCACCUUCACGAUGAUUCAUGACUGUGGUGCGCCCUUUCAAGUGAGGACAGGGGACAGAUACUAUCACGGUGACGAAAGUAGGCUGUGCUCAGCCGCUGCGGGGCAUCACAACAUUCCAAGAAACAUCCUGGGACUUGACAGGGAUUCCUCAACUCGAGCGUCGUCGAGCUUGGUGUGCCCAGCCACUAUUCGGAUGUUACCACCCUCCUGCCUUUAUUCCUUGCCUCCCUUGUCUUCUUCCUCAGUACCCAACCCCCAUUCUCCGCCUUUUCUUUUGAGUUUCAGAGGAAUUUGCUCAGACAUCCUUUCAAUGGACAGACUGACAUGUUAAAACUUGCUGGAGCUCGAGAUCACUAUAUCAUUUCAUUUAAUGAAAACAUCUGUUUUCCUGAAUAAAGAGCAAUGCAGUAAUCUAUCUGUAUGAUUUGUAAGAUCAUUAUUUCGCUGGGUGCGGCCCCUUUAAGGGGAAGCGAAGACGAGAGUCGAGGAGAGAGAGCUCCACCUUAAGAGUGUCUUUCACUGUUUUAACUAUUAACAUUACAACAGUUCAACUCAUUUUUACACUCAUUGAACAUUGUAUCAUUAAAAAUGAUUCUAUGCCUGGAGAUCACACUGUUCUGAUCACUGAGUUAUAAACACCUUGGAAGUUUGGCAGUACUUGAAAUCAUUCAUUUUACUUCCUCUGUUAACCACUGAUUGAUUGUUAAUCAUUGAGGCCACUUUUAUUCUGUCUGGAGGAAAUCAAGACCUGGAUGGCACAACAUUUCUUGAAUUUCAAUCAAAAGAAGAUAGAAGUGAUGGCAUAUGGUCCCAGUGGCCUUUGUACAUCCCAUCUUGCGUACUUGACCCCCAGGCUCCUUAUUUUAAGCCAACAGUCUCAAACCUGGGUCUUGAACUGGACGGUUUUAAAUUGGAACAGCCGUCAUUAAAUCCAGGUGCUUUCACUUUAGGCAGCUGGCUAAAGUAAAGCCUCUCCUUUCUCAAGAGCACUUUGAAAGAGUAAUGCA